CAUGCAAGUCGAACGGCAGCACGGACUUCGGUCUGGUGGCGAGUGGCGAACGGGUGAGUAAUAUAUCGGAACGUAUCCAAUAAUGGGGGAUAACUAAUCGAAAGGUUGGCUAAUACCGCAUACGCCCUACGGGGGAAAGCAGGGGAUCUUCGGACCUUGCGUUAAUGGAGCGGCUGAUAUCUGAUUAGCUAGUUGGUGAGGUAAAGGCUCACCAAGGCGACGAUCAGUAGCUGGUCUGAGAGGACGACCAGCCACACUGGAACUGAGACACGGUCCAGACUCCUACGGGAGGCAGCAGUGGGGAAUUUUGGACAAUGGGCGCAAGCCUGAUCCAGCCAUUCCGCGUGAGUGAAGAAGGCCUUCGGGUUGUAAAGCUCUUUCGCAAGGGAAGAAAACUUACUUUUUAAUAAAGAGUGAGGUUGACGGUACCUUGAUAAGAAGCACCGGCUAACUACGUGCCAGCAGCCGCGGUAAUACGUAGGGUGCGAGCGUUAAUCGGAAUUACUGGGCGUAAAGCGUGCGCAGGCGGUUUUGUAAGUCAGAUGUGAAAUCCCCGAGCUCAACUUGGGAACUGCGUUUGAAACUACAAGACUAGAAUAUGUCAGAGGGGGGUAGAAUUCCACGUGUAGCAGUGAAAUGCGUAGAGAUGUGGAGGAAUACCAAUGGCGAAGGCAGCCCCCUGGGAUAAUAUUGACGCUCAUGCACGAAAGCGUGGGGAGCAAACAGGAUUAGAUACCCUGGUAGUCCACGCCCUAAACGAUGUCUACUAGUUGUUGGUGGAGUAAAAUCCAUGAGUAACGCAGCUAACGCGUGAAGUAGACCGCCUGGGGAGUAC
Molecule: ribosomal RNA, 835 nt
Filed under: uncultured bacterium
Lineage: Bacteria
Description: SSU rRNA
Rfam family: Bacterial small subunit ribosomal RNA
Source: RNAcentral